Molecule: long non-coding RNA, 1177 nt
Filed under: Gallus gallus (chicken)
Lineage: Eukaryota; Metazoa; Chordata; Aves; Galliformes; Phasianidae
Description: lncRNA (ENSGALG00010000122.1)
Source: RNAcentral
UGAUGAGGGACCUAACACAAUUGUGAUCUGCAUGGUCAUCUUACUGAACAUUGGUCUGGCCAUCCUAUUUGUACAUUUUUUGACAUGAGGUCCCCCUCGGACAAGUCUCACAGCACAGGACUGGGUGGGAAAACCUGAGAGACUGGAAAGAACGUGGAAGCGAUGGUCGAGGGAAAAAACAGAUGGCCAGUCUGCUCCAAAGGUCUUACGAAGAUGCAGAUAUGUUUCACUCUUCACACAAAAAUACCUUCAUCACAGAUUUUGCAAGCUGUGUACUACAAUCCAUGUACUGCUGUCUGGAGUUUUGUCGGUUGUUCUGCUGGAAUACGUGCAAUAAUAAACAGUUAUCUGCUCACUGUAUCCAUGUUUAUCUUUGCGAGUGCCUUGCACUGGAUGACAGGCACGUGCUAAUUCAGACCUUGUCUCAUAAAUAACCUGUUGGCUGUGUUUUCUCUAGAGGAUGGCUCAGCUCGGAGGGGAAGGCUGAUCCGUCAGAGCCCCAGACGUGGAGGAGGAGGUGAGCCAGGCUCCAACCUGGGAUGCCUCACACUGUCAGUGCCUGCAGGAUCUGGGCUCUCUGGGAACUCAGGGCUGCCCUGGCCUCUGCACAAAGCACACAGUGCUGGUGGUGCUGAGUGCCCCCAGGAUUACCAGCAAGGGAAGAAAACAGAACAUCACCAACCAGAAACUGGUUGGCAGAGUCUGUGUGCCAGCUGUGGGGUGCAGAUUGCAGACAGUGCUGUUGUGCUGCUGUUAAAGCCUCAUCCCAAACACAGCGAUGCUCUGGGAGCCAUGUGUCAGCACCAAGCCACCUGGGCUGUGUUCAUGCAACAAUCAGAGCUCCAUCGGUAUGCCUUCAACAGGUCUGUGCUGCCUGCCAUCCCCUGGGGCUGCUGCCACAUUUCUUCUAGACCAUGCACUGCUGCCUGCUCCCCCAGCACCAUGCCUCUGUGCUUGGAGAGGGGUAAUUCUUGCUAACCUGCCGCCCUCAGUUCCUCUGCACCGACUUAAAGGCUUGUGGAUGUGGUCAGGACACAAAUGGGGGAAAGGAGCAGUGUUGCACUGUGGCUGACUGCACAGAGAGGAGGCAAUCGCAGGAGUGCCCCAGGACCCUGUGCAGCAUCAGCCCCAUAAGCCCACAAAUGGAUGGAUGCCAACGCCUGUCAGCAAUCUGCCC